Molecule: ribosomal RNA, 406 nt
Filed under: uncultured bacterium
Lineage: Bacteria
Description: partial 16S ribosomal RNA
Rfam family: Bacterial small subunit ribosomal RNA
Source: RNAcentral
AUUGAACGCUGGCGGCAGGCCUAACACAUGCAAGUCGAACGAGUGGCGGACGGGUGAGUAAUGUCUGUGAAAGUGCCUGAUGGAGGGGGAUAACUACUGGAAACUGUAGCUGAUACCGCAUACCAGAGCAUGGGCCGGGAUGGGAUUAGCUAGUUGGUGGGGUAACGGCUAACCAAGGCGACGAUCCCUAGCUGGUCUGAGAGGAUGACCAGCCACACUGGAACUGAGACACGGUCCAGACUCCUACGGGAGGCAGCAGUGGGGAAUAUUGCACAAUGGGCGAAAGCCUGAUCCAGCCAUGCCGCGUGUAUGAAGAAGGUCUUCGGGUUGUAAAGCACUUUCAGCGGGGAGGCGUUACCCGCAGAAGAAGCACCGGCUAACUCCGUGCCAGCAGCCGCGGUAAUUC